AUGUCCAUUCUUUGGUCUCUUUUAUUCCAAUACUAGAGAAACUCUCCCUCGCAAUACAGUAUGAUAGAAAUACUUUCUCCUUCACACUUUCAAAGUCGGUUCUUUUGACCUCUUCUCAAUGACAUGGGUUUUGCAAUUUCUAAGCUUUGAAUUCUCUUUCAACUUUCAAUAAUACUUGGUAAUGAUAUAUUUCACCAUCGUUGUCGCGCGGCAACACAACCUCAAUCGAAAAUAAUGGUACAAAGAAGCCUGGCCAAUCUUCAACCGGCAGCAGCAGCGCCCUCCUCAGCCUGCGGAUCUCCCGCAAUAUCCUUACUCUGACGGUGGCCAACUUCCACUGCAGACAAUUUUCAUUCGGCAGCAGCAAGGCCCUCCUCAAGCUUGCUUCGAAGUCGGCUAAAUCCCUCUGAAGUUCCCGCAAGGACUCGAUAUGAAUCUUCUUGUACGAAUCUGGAUCAUCCAUAUUUGUAAUGUAAGUGUAGUAGAAUGAACGAGUGAGAGUAAGAAAGGGAGAAAAGAAAGGAGGCCAAAGGGACCUAUUUAUAAAUGAUCGGAUUGAAAGGAGUGACUUAGUCAAACAAAAAGCCACCACUGUUCAUAUCCCAUAAUUAAA
Capsicum annuum is the source of this 613-nucleotide long non-coding RNA. RefSeq lists it as uncharacterized. Lineage: Eukaryota; Viridiplantae; Streptophyta; Magnoliopsida; Solanales; Solanaceae. The record is from RefSeq and is a predicted model, not a curated record. The transcript is spliced from 4 exons.